This 133-nucleotide ribosomal RNA is filed under the name uncultured bacterium. RNAcentral's name for it is "partial 16S ribosomal RNA". The record is from RNAcentral.
AGGUUAACGUCAGGGUCUAUGGAUAUUAACCAUAAACUUUUCCUCCCUACUGAAAGUGCUUUACAACCCGCAGGCCUUCUUCACACACGCGGCAUUGCUGGAUCAGGCUUGCGCCCAUUGUCCAAUAUUCCCC